CCGCCCCCGCCAUGGCCGGGGACCUCUCUGCGGCCAUGUCCUACAUCGAAGACGAUUUCUACUGCCCUGUCUGUCAAGAGGUGCUCAAAACGCCUGUACGGACCGCGGCCUGUCAGCACGUUUUCUGUAAAAAAUGUUUCCUUACUACAAUGAGAGAAAGUGGACUACAUUGGGGUCCCCUCUGUCGUGGAAAUGUAACUAGAAGAGAGAGAGCCUGCCCCGAACGGGCUUUAGAUGUUGAAAAUAUCAUAAGGAAGUUUUCUGGUAGUUGCCGAUGCUGUGCAAAACGAUUAAAUGCUAUCUCAUGAGACAUCAUUGCAAGUCGUGUAAGAAGUAUCAGGAUGAAUAUGGUGUUUCUUCUAUCAUUCCAAACUUUCAGAUCUCUCAAGAUUCAGUAGGGAACAGUAAUAGGAGUGAGACAUCCCCAUCUGAUAACACAGAAACUUACCAAGAGAAUACAAGUUUUUCUGGGCAUCCCACUUUUAAGUGUCCAUUGUGUCAAGAAUCCAAUUUUACCAGACAGCAUUUAUUGGAUCACACUGUAACAGUAAUCAACUAUUUCAUAUAAUUCUGUGACAUGUCCUAUUUGUGUGUCUCUUCCACGGAGAGAUCCUAGCCAGAUUACGAGACAUUUUGUUAGUCAUCUAAAUCAAAGACAUCAGUUUGAUUAUGGAGAAUUUGUGAAUCUUCAGCUAGAUGAGGAAACCCAGUAUCAAACUGCUGUUGAAGAAUCUUUUCAAGUCAACAUCUGAAGCUUGUAGACAUCUCUACAUCUUAGUACCUGCAAGUGCCAUCUUUAAGGAGGAAACUACAUAAAGUCACCAUUCAGUAACUUGAUGUUUAUAUUAAUAAAAGUAAUUCAUUCUAUUGUUUAAUUUUUUUAAAUUGAAAAAUAAAUGUGGGCCAUUUAAACACUUCAUCUUGAUAAAAAUGAAAGUUCAGAUGUUAGUUUUUUAAAGCAUGAAAAGGAUUAUUUUUCACAAAUGUGAUGGUGUAAAGGGAAUCCCUGUUGUAACUUUUUUGUUUUAUAUUGAAAUUUUCAUUAUUAUGCUGCUUUUGAAAUUUGGAACCGUUUCCUGCAUUUAUUUCUUUGUACACAGGGAAACA
Molecule: RNA transcript, 1107 nt
Organism: Chrysochloris asiatica (Cape golden mole)
Lineage: Eukaryota; Metazoa; Chordata; Mammalia; Afrosoricida; Chrysochloridae
Gene name: ring finger protein 138, E3 ubiquitin protein ligase pseudogene
Exons: 1
Source: RefSeq, a predicted model, not a curated record